UUUUAAAACUUUGAGCUUUCCGUGAAAUAAAUACACUUUAAAGCUAUUUUACAAAAAACAUAUCAACAGACAUUUGAGCAAAUGGUAUUUGUUUUGAGCAAAUAAAUCCUACGUCAAAGAUUUUUGGGGGAACGUGCAAAGUCAUUUACCCAGAGCUCUCCCAUAGGUACCCGAUAUAUAUAUACUCAUUACUUUGCACGAGACCUAACAAUGGAAGAUAGAGAAGAAACUUGUGUUUUAUUUGGUGCUUAUUUCAUGAGGGAAUCGCAAAGGGUUUCCAACAGAGUCCGUUGGCAUUCUGUCCACCUCCGACCGAUCUUCACCUCAGAACCCUCCCCAAAAAGUAGAACAGAAAAAGGGGAAGGAAGAAAGAUUCUUCGUCAAGUCUCUCUCGUGAUCUCUUGGAGGUGGGCAGAUUGCCAACUGAGCUCUGUUAGGUUCUCUCUGCGAAACCCUUCGUGAAUCAUUUCUUCAUCUCAUAUUAGCUGUUCUCUUCAAUCUUUUUGAUAAAGUGAAAACAAGAGGAGACGACAAGACGUAUAUUUAUACUUCCAUCGGGGUCGGGGUUCGAUCUUCUCUUCUCCGCUCUUCUGCUGUUUUGCAGGGCUUAAAUUUAGCCGUCGACACGUCUUGUGCAUGGGGUUGCCUGGAUAAGAGAAGAAGAAGAUGACUUCAAGAAGUGACGACCGUCGCUCUACGAUCGGUCCUUCGACCGGUCCGCUCGGAACCCUAGUUCAUCCUGCCCCAUCUCUUCAUCGUUCGUGGCAAAACCAGAGUUAAAAUCCCCGGUUUCUUUCCCAGCAAGACUAUUAUGUAUAUAAUCAUAGGUUAUUUUUCCAUAUCUUUUUUGUGAUCACAUCUUCCAAGUUCGUAUCGAGGGUUAUCCCAGUUUUUCUUUUAGCAGAAGAAAGUUAAAAAGUAAGAAAAAAGAAGAAGAAGAAAAUCGGAAGGGUUGGCUAGCUAGAUAUGAUUUUUGAUAAAGAUUGUAAAAUAAAAAAGUGAGAUGAAAUAGUAUUUCCAUAGAUUUUUUUUUU
Long non-coding RNA from Eucalyptus grandis, 1034 nucleotides. RefSeq lists it as uncharacterized. The record is from RefSeq and is a predicted model, not a curated record. Lineage: Eukaryota; Viridiplantae; Streptophyta; Magnoliopsida; Myrtales; Myrtaceae. The transcript is spliced from 2 exons.